RNAcentral lists this ribosomal RNA (497 nucleotides) under uncultured bacterium. RNAcentral describes it as "partial 16S ribosomal RNA". It matches the Rfam family "Bacterial small subunit ribosomal RNA", at positions 28 to 507 of the family's 1533-position model. The record is from RNAcentral.
GAUGAACGCUGGCGGCGUGCCUAAUACAUGCAAGUCGAGCGAACAGACGAGGAGCUUGCUCCUCUGACGUUAGCGGCGGACGGGUGAGUAACACGUGGAUAACCUACCUAUAAGACUGGGAUAACUUCGGGAAACCGGAGCUAAUACUGGAUAAUAUAUUGAACCGCAUGGUUCAAUAGUGAAAGACGGUUUUGCUGUCACUUAUAGAUGGAUCCGCGCCGCAUUAGCUAGUUGGUAAGGUAACGGCUUACCAAGGCAACGAUGCGUAGCCGACCUGAGAGGGUGAUCGGCCACACUGGAACUGAGACACGGUCCAGACUUCUACGGGAGGCAGCAGUAGGGAAUCUUCCGCAAUGGGCGAAAGCCUGACGGAGCAACGCCGCGUGAGUGAUGAAGGUCUUCGGAUCGUAAAACUCUGUUAUUAGGGAAGAACAAAUGUGUAAGUAACUAUGCACGUCUUGACGGUACCUAAUCAGAAAGCCACGGCUAACUACGUG